This is a long non-coding RNA of Pogona vitticeps (central bearded dragon), 2317 nucleotides long. Lineage: Eukaryota; Metazoa; Chordata; Lepidosauria; Squamata; Agamidae. The record is from Ensembl.
UUCCCAUUAGUUUCUAUGGACGAAAAGAGCAGAUACAGAUUAAAUGGUUUUCAAUGCAUUUCUAUGGGAAAUGCAGAUUCGACUUAAGAACUUUUCGACUUGAGAACUUCCUUCCAAUACGGAUUAAGUUCGUAAGUCGAGACCCCACUGUAUUUUUCGUGUGCAGGUCUGGAGCACCGAUCAACGGUUUACAGCACAGAUGGCUGAGUUUGUGGUUAAUAUCGGCUAAACCACAGAUAUCCUGUGUAUUUCGUUUCCUCUUGAAAUGUAACGCUUGCUAUUAAAUUAGAAUAACCCAGGGCGGGGGACCUGCUCAAAUGUAAUACUUAGAAAAACCAGCCCCUCUUGAACUCCUAUAGGUAGAAGACUCUGUAGUCAAGCCCCCUUACCUAAUUGUCUGCCAAUAGAUAUUUUUGUAACCUUAUUUCCUUGUGGUUAGAAGUAAUAAAAGUUCUUUGCAUUGUUUGAUCGGGGUCCCUCGUGUCUGGGGGACCCGAGUGGCCAUUCGAAAUAAACAGCGCUUGUUCUCUCUUGAGUCUGUGUAUGGUCAAAUCUCAUGCUUGCUGGUACAAGAGUGUUUUAACACUUCCAGAUUUCUUAUAUCUGGCUCACAGACUGCAGCAUGUAGAUGUACCAUGUACUCAAGAGCCAAUGACUAUUUAGAAUGUUCAUAUUUGUGAAAUUGAUAUUUUAUUCAAUAUUUCAUCCUGUUUCCAUAUGUCUGAUGAAGUGGAUGUGUCUAUGAAAGCUUACAUUAAAAUACAGCAAUUAGUCUUUAAGGCGCCACAUGCUUUUGUCCUUUUUUGUUUUGUUUCUUUGGAUUUUGUCUAAUAUGCCUGCACAGACUAACACAGCUACGUCUUCCAAACCUAUUUAGAUAAGGUUAUUGUUAGAAUGUUGCUUGUUAAUUGGCCCAUAUAAGCUAUAUGGCUUGUGCAAAAGGAAAGUAUGACAGACUUAGCAACAGGAAGAGUGUGCUUCCUGACUUGUUAUCCUCUUUUCCUGCGAAGCUGUUUUUACCAGUAAAAACAAACUUAUUUUCUUUAAGCAGCUUUGUUACUGCUUCUCUGCUUCACUGGGAGAAAGGCCCUUCAGCAUCCACUGUUUACAACGCUAGUCCACAAGAUAUCACAAUAAAGAGGAGGAGAAGGAAAAAAACGUUGGAGGAAGCAGAAGAAAACAAUCAAAAGAAAAAAGCAACAUCUGUGGAGAAAGAUAAGAGGAGGCAGGAAUGGAGAGAAGCAAAGCCACAGAGGAAGGUCAGCCAGGCAAGAGUGAAAUGAAGAAAGAAACAUCACAACCUUGAACCAGUGGAGACUGGCAAAGCCUUUGAGCACACAGGCCAACAACAGCUACCUGAAGGAUUAAGAAAACAACUGCCAUUCUCCCAUUCAUAUUUGUAUAUCUGUAUACUUAACAGUUUUAGCUUUUAAAUACUGUUUAGUAAUGUAAGCCACCUUGGGUCCUUUUGGGGAGAAAGGGGCACACAAACAAACAGAGCAAACUGAAAUUAUAUUUGCAAUUGACUGCUAUCAACAGCUAGAGUUGUCCAUAUUUGCUUUACAAACUUUAGCUUGUUGUUCAGCAUUACUGUUUACUGGAGGUUCUAAAAUAUAGUUAUGUAGUUACCUGUGGGUCUCUUGCAUGACUGUAGCUUGCAACUCUUCCUCCUCUGUAGAAAAACCUGCCAUGUUAUGUACAUUUAUGUUUGUUAUAAAAUGCCAUGUUAACCCCAUUUUAUUUAUUUAUUCUACUUAUAUCCCGCCUAUCUGGUCUUGCGACCACUCUAGGUGGCUUACAGACACAUAAAACAACAAGUAAAUAUAACAAAAGAAAUUAUUACAUUAAAUGACCAUUGGUCAUAAGGGGGAAGAAUGAAACCCAGAUCAAGGAAAUGCCUUUACAAGGACUGCUAUAAAACUUUUAAAAAUCAGUUGUUUGUAUGCCUCUUAGCGCCUUAUUCCUGCAUGCUUUAUUGCUUACUGUGUACUGCACUGGCCUGACAAAACAAGAUGCCUGGCUGGGAUGUCCCUUCAAGGAAACUCACCAGCUGUAUCAGCCUAGCAACAAAAUAUAGCUCAACAGUUACAGUUGCCUUGUCUGAUUCCUCUCACCUUAUUUCCUUUUAAGGUCAUCGUUUGAAAACUGCUUGUUAAUUGGUACUCGUAAGCCUUUGCCUUUGAUAAGAAAGUGUAUAAAAGACUCCAGAACUGCAUCAUAAGUGUGUUUCCUCUGUACACUCUUGACGGUGUUUUGUCCGUGCUGUGAUUGUUCCUGUUUUUUACUGGUAAAAAUAAAUAUUCUCUCUUCAGGCUCA